Daphnia magna is the source of this 633-nucleotide long non-coding RNA. RefSeq lists it as uncharacterized. The transcript has 3 exons. The record is from RefSeq and is a predicted model, not a curated record. Lineage: Eukaryota; Metazoa; Arthropoda; Branchiopoda; Diplostraca; Daphniidae.
AAAAGGUGAGCCAAUUGCAAGUCACGACUGAAGAAAACUCAGUGAGGGCAACGACAAUACAUCGUCAGAUCUCGACACGGUUCAAGACUUUAAGCCAACGCCAAGUCAACGCCGCGGUGUACCAAUCUCAGAUAAGGAACCCUGCAGAUAGGUUUUUUUUUGUGAGCUUGGUGUACAGUACGCCAUGAUGUACGUACACACACGUGGUGGUAAAUGGACGGCUGCUGCUAAAUCGAGUUGCUAAAACGCGGGACUGCCACCCUACGCCAUUGUCCCCAAAGACUGGAAUGUUUUGUGGAAUUUUCGGCUACGACAACAGUGUUUGCUUGUGCAAGAGUUUUUCGACGCCAAUAAGUUUCUUUUUUGAAAGGUCACUCCAGUUGCACCAUUGCUAUUUAUCGGUUCAAUUGAUCUUUGUUGACAUGGAUGUGUCCCAUAUUAAGUUUACGAGUUCAAAUUCCAUCGUUCACCGAGAAAUCGUCGUCCAGAUGUGUCAAAUGUCUCCAGGCGUCAACAAUCAUCGACUUUGUGUCAACCCACGUCAAUUUUUUGUUUUUACCUAGUUGUUACCUAGUUGUUUAGACAAAAUCUGCUUCGCAUUGAAAAAAUAAAACGUAUAUCUCAAAAAUAACA